CUGGAGGUAUCAGAAGUGCGAAUGCUGACAUAAGUAACGAUAAAGCGGGUGAAAAGCCCGCUCGCCGGAAGACCAAGGGUUCCUGUCCAACGUUAAUCGGGGCAGGGUGAGUCGACCCCUAAGGCGAGGCCGAAAGGCGUAGUCGAUGGGAAACAGGUUAAUAUUCCUGUACUUGGUGUUACUGCGAAGGGGGGACGGAGAAGGCUAUGUUGGCCGGGCGACGGUUGUCCCGGUUUAAGCGUGUAGGCUGGUUUUCCAGGCAAAUCCGGAAAAUCAAGGCUGAGGCGUGAUGACGAGGCACUACGGUGCUGAAGCAACAAAUGCCCUGCUUCCAGGAAAAGCCUCUAAGCAUCAGGUAACAUCAAAUCGUACCCCAAACCGACACAGGUGGUCAGGUAGAGAAUACCAAGGCGCUUGAGAGAACUCGGGUGAAGGAACUAGGCAAAAUGGUGCCGUAACUUCGGGAGAAGGCACGCUGAUAUGUAGGUGAAGCGACUUGCUCGUGGAGCUGAAAUCAGUCGAAGAUACCAGCUGGCUGCAACUGUUUAUUAAAAACACAGCACUGUGCAAACACGAAAGUGGACGUAUACGGUGUGACGCCUGCCCGGUGCCGGAAGGUUAAUUGAUGGGGUUAGCGGUAACGCGAAGCUCUUGAUCGAAGCCCCGGUAAACGGCGGCCGUAACUAUAACGGUCCUAAGGUAGCGAAAUUCCUUGUCGGGUAAGUUCCGACCUGCACGAAUGGCGUAAUGAUGGCCAGGCUGUCUCCACCCGAGACUCAGUGAAAUUGAACUCGCUGUGAAGAUGCAGUGUACCCGCGGCAAGACGGAAAGACCCCGUGAACCUUUACUAUAGCUUGACACUGAACAUUGAGCCUUGAUGUGUAGGAUAGGUGGGAGGCUUUGAAGUGUGGACGCCAGUCUGCAUGGAGCCGACCUUGAAAUACCACCCUUUAAUGUUUGAUGUUCUAACGUAGGCCCCUUAUCGGGGUUGCGGACAGUGUCUGGUGGGUAGUUUGACUGGGGCGGUCUCCUCCUAAAGAGUAACGGAGGAGCACGAAGGUUGGCUAAUCCUGGUCGGACAUCAGGAGGUUAGUGCAAUGGCAUAAGCCAGCUUGACUGCGAGCGUGACGGCGCGAGCAGGUGCGAAAGCAGGUCAUAGUGAUCCGGUGGUUCUGAAUGGAAGGGCCAUCGCUCAACGGAUAAAAGGUACUCCGGGGAUAACAGGCUGAUACCGCCCAAGAGUUCAUAUCGACGGCGGUGUUUGGCACCUCGAUGUCGGCUCAUCACAUCCUGGGGCUGAAGUAGGUCCCAAGGGUAUGGCUGUUCGCCAUUUAAAGUGGUACGCGAGCUGGGUUUAGAACGUCGUGAGACAGUUCGGUCCCUAUCUGCCGUGGGCGCUGGAGAACUGAGGGGGGCUGCUCCUAGUACGAGAGGACCGGAGUGGACGCAUCACUGGUGUUCGGGUUGUCAUGCCAAUGGCACUGCCCGGUAGCUAAAUGCGGAAGAGAUAAGUGCUGAAAGCAUCUAAGCACGAAACUUGCCCCGAGAUGAGUUCUCCCUGACCCUUUAAGGGUCCUGAAGGAACGUUGAAGACGACGACGUUGAUAGGCCGGGUGUGUAAGCGCAGCGAUGCGUUGAGCUAACCGGUACUAAUGAACCGUGAGG
Molecule: ribosomal RNA, 1665 nt
Filed under: Escherichia coli
Lineage: Bacteria; Pseudomonadati; Pseudomonadota; Gammaproteobacteria; Enterobacterales; Enterobacteriaceae
Description: partial 23S ribosomal RNA
Rfam family: Bacterial large subunit ribosomal RNA
Source: RNAcentral